GCAAAUUGCAGAAUUUUUAUGGACAUCAGUUGUUAUUUCUUAAAUAUUUUGUCAAUAGGAGCUGUACAUCUAUCUUUUUAUACGAAUUUUGCGGUCGUAUAUUGGUAUCACGUCGGCGGCGUCAGCGUCGUCGGAAGAUGGAUGGUUUCCGGAUAAUAACUUUUGUAUAAGUAAACAGAAAUCAAUAAAAUUUUAACACAAUGUUUAUAACCACAAAAGGAAGCUUUGGAUUGAUUUUGGGGGUUAUGGUCCCUAAGGUUUAGAAAUUAGGGGCCCAAAGGGCCCAAAAAUAGCAUUUAUCUAGUGUCAGAACAAUAAGUUGUGUAUGAGUAUUUCAAUUGUUCUGAAAUUGUACCACAAUGUUUAAUACCAUUAAUAGAAGGUUGAGAUAUAUUUCAAGGGUUAUGGGGCAAACAGUCUAGGAAUAAAGGGCCAAAAACAAGCAUUUUUAUAGGACUGCAAAAAUUGAAAAUUUUUUGGUCGUAUAUUGGUAUCACGUUGGCGUCGUCGUCGUCUGAAGAAUUUGGUUUUCGCACUAUAACUUUAGAAUACGUGAAUAGAAAUCUAUGAAAUUUUAACACAAGGUUUAUGACCACAAAAGGAAGGUUGGGAUUGAUUUUGGAAGUUUUGGUCCCAACAGUUUAGGAAUUAGGGGCAAAAAAGGGCCCAAAAAUAGCAUUUAUCUAGUGUCAGAACAAUAAGUUGUGUAUGUGUAUUUCAAUUGUUCUGAAAUUGUACCACAAUGUUUAAUACCAUAAGUUGAAGGUUGAGAUAUAUUUUAAGGGUUAUAGGGCAAACAGUCUAGGAAUAAAGGGCCAAAAAGGGGCCAAAACAAGCAUUUUUAUUGGAUCGCAAUAAUUGAAAAUUUUUUGGUCGUAUAUUGGUAUCAUGUUGGCGUCGUCGUCUGCGUCGUUCGAAGACAUUUGGUUUUCGCACUAUAACUUUAGUAUAAGUGAAUAGAAAUCUAUGAAAUUUUAACACAAGGUUUAUGACCACAAAAGGAAGGUUGGGGUUGAUUUUGGGAGUUUUGGUCCCAACACUUUAGGAAUAAGGGGCCCAAAGAGUCCAAAAUUAAACUUUGUUUGAUUUCAUCAAAAAUUGAAUAAUUGGGGUUCUUUGAUAUGCCAUAUCUAACCGUGUAUGUAGAUUCUUAAUUUUUGGUCCCGUUUUCAAAUUGGUCUACAUUAAAGUUCAAAGGGUCCAAAAUUAAACUAAGUUUGAUUUUAACAAAAAUUGAAUUCUUGGGCUUCUUUGAUAUGCUGAAUCUAAACAUGUACUUAGAUUUUUUAUUAUGGGCCCAGUUUUCAAGUUGGACCAAAUCAGGAUCCCAAAUUAUUAAUUAAGUAUUGUGCAAUAGCAAGAAAUUUUCAAUUGCACAGCAUUCAGCAAUAACAAGAAAUCUUCAAUUGCACAGUAUUGCGCAAUAGCAAGAAAUAUAUAGUUGCACAAUAUUGUGCAAAAGCAAGAAACUUCAAUUGGAGUUAUCUUUCUUUGUCCAGAAUAGUAAUUGAAUCAACUUAAAUCAUUGUUUUAUACAAUAUACAAUGUAUAUUCACUUUUAAUACCAACUGAUAAAUUAAAACAAUUUUUACCAUUCUGUGAUAACAAGCACUUUUUUGACAUUUUAAUAUUAUAUGAUGUAUUUAAUUGAGUAGUUAUUGUUGCAAACUCCAUUAAUUGGGGGGGGGGUUCAAUUUUUCUCAUUUCAGAUUUCAUAAAUAAAAAGAAAAUUUCUUCAAACAUUUUUUUGAGAGGAUUAAUAUUCAACAGCAUAGUGAAUUGAUCAAACGGAAAAAAAAAAAUUUAAGUUUAUUAGACCACAUUCAUUCUGUGUCAGAAACCUAUGCUGUGUCAACUAUUUAAUCACAAUCCAAAUUUAGAGCUGAAUCCAGCUUGAAUGUUGUGUCCAUACUUGCCCGAACUGUUGAGUGUUCAAGCUCUGCGGUCGUAUAAAGCUGCGCCCUGCAGAGCAUCUGGUUGUAGUUUCAAGUCAAUAAAUUGGAGUUAUCUUUCUUUGUCCAGAAUGAUUGUUAAAUCACCUAAAACCAAUGCUUUUAUAUAAUCUUCUUUGAAAAUUGGAGUUAUCUUUCUUUGUCCAGAAUAGAAGUUGAAUCAACUUAAAUCAAUGCUAUAUACAAUAUACAAUGCAAUAUUCACUUUACUACCAACUGAUCAAUUAAAGCAAUCUUUACCAUUCAGUGAUUACAAGCACUUUGAUUACCAUUCUAGGGUUAUGUCCCUUUACAAGUGGAAAAAUUGAAGAAUUUUUUAUACGACCGCAAAAAUUGAAAAUUUUUUGGUCGUAUAUUGGUAUCAUGUUGGCGUCGUCUGCGUCGUCGUCGUCGUCCGAAUACUUUUAGUUUUUGCACUCUAACUUUAGCAAAAGUGAAUAGAAAUCUAUGAAAUUUUAACACAAGGUUUAUGACCACAAAAGGAAGGUUGGGAUUGAUUUUGGGAGUUUUGGUCCCAACAUUUUAGGAAUUAGGGGCCAAAAAGGGCCCAAAUAAGCAUUUUUCUUGGUUUUCGCACUAUAACUUUAGUUUAAGUAAAUAGAAAUCUAUGAAAUUUUGACACAAGGUUUAUGACCACAAAAGGAAGGUUGGGAUUGAUUUUGGGAGUUUUGUUCCCAACAGUUUAGGAAUUAGGGGCCAAAAAAGGGCCCAAAUAAGCAUUAUUCUUGGUUUUCGCACAAUAACUUUAGUAUAAGUAAAUAGAAAUCAAUGAAAUUUAAACACAAGGUUUAUGACCACAAAAGGAAGGUUGGGAUUGAUUUUGGGAGUUGGGGUCCCAACAGUUUAGGAAUUAGGGGCCAAAAAGGGCCCAAAUAAGCAUUUUCUUGGUUUUCGCAAUAUAACUUUAGUACAAGUAAAUGGAAAUCUAUGAAAUUUAAACACAAGGUUUAUGACCAUAAAAGGAAGGUUGGGUUUGAUUUUGGGAGUUUUGGUCCCAACAGUUUAGGAAUAAGGGGCCCAAAGGGUCCAAAAUUGAACUUUGUUUGAUUUCAUCAAAAAAUUGAAUAAUUGGGGUUCUUUGAUAUGCCGAAUCUAACUGUGUAUGUAGAUUCUUAAUUUUUGGUCCCGUUUUCAAAUUGGUCUACAUUAAGGUCCAAAGGGUCCAAAAUUAAACUUAGUUUGAUUUUAACAGAAAAUGAAUCCUUGGGGUUCUUUGAUAUGCUGAAUCUAAAAAUGUACUUAAGAUUUUUUAUUAUGGGCCCAGUUUUCAAGUUGGUCCAAAUCAGGGUCCAAAAUUAAACUUUGUUUGAUUUCAUCAAGAAUUGAAUAAUUGGGGUUCUUUGAUAUGCCAAAUCUAACUGUGUAUGUAGAUUCUUAAUUUUUGGUCCCGUUUUCAAAUUGGUCUACAUUAAAGUCCAAAGGGUCCAAAAUUAAACUAAGUUUGAUUUUAACAAAAAAUGAAUUCUUGGGCUUUUUUGAUAUGCUGAAUCUAAACAUGUACUUACAUUUUUGAUUAUGGGCCCAGUUUUCAAGUUGGUUCAAAUCAGGAUCCAAAAUUAUUAUAUUAAGUAUUGUGCAAUAGCAAGAAAUUUUCAAUUGCACAGUAUUCAGCAAUUGCAAGAAAUCUUCAAUUGCACAGUAUUGUGCAAUAGCAAGAAAUUUUCAAUUGCACAGUAUUGCGCAAUAGCAAGAAAU
This 3647-nucleotide long non-coding RNA is filed under the name Mytilus galloprovincialis (Mediterranean mussel). Lineage: Eukaryota; Metazoa; Mollusca; Bivalvia; Mytilida; Mytilidae. The record is from RNAcentral.